AGACCAUGGUGUGGACAUUCUCUCUGCAGAUCCUUGAACCUCUCCCAGACCUCAAAUAAGCUUUUAUCUGCCAACUGUGUGAUGGAAAUAAUUUGACUCC
Molecule: non-coding RNA, 100 nt
Organism: Spinacia oleracea (spinach)
Lineage: Eukaryota; Viridiplantae; Streptophyta; Magnoliopsida; Caryophyllales; Amaranthaceae
Source: Rfam